Molecule: ribosomal RNA, 273 nt
Filed under: uncultured bacterium
Lineage: Bacteria
Also listed under: 1 other name
Description: partial 16S ribosomal RNA
Rfam family: Bacterial small subunit ribosomal RNA
Source: RNAcentral
UACGUAGGGUGCGAGCGUUAAUCGGAAUUACUGGGCGUAAAGCGUGCGCAGGCGGUUUUGUAAGACAGAUGUGAAAUCCCCGGGCUUAACCUGGGAACUGCAUUUGUGACUGCAAGGCUAGAGUACGGCAGAGGGGGGUAGAAUUCCACGUGUAGCAGUGAAAUGCGUAGAUAUGUGGAGGAAUACCGAUGGCGAAGGCAGCCCCCUGGGUCGAUACUGACGCUCAUGCACGAAAGCGUGGGGAGCAAACAGGAUUAGAAACCCUAGUAGUCC